This is a long non-coding RNA of Zalophus californianus (California sea lion), 1404 nucleotides long. RefSeq lists it as uncharacterized. The transcript has 7 exons. Lineage: Eukaryota; Metazoa; Chordata; Mammalia; Carnivora; Otariidae. The record is from RefSeq and is a predicted model, not a curated record.
AAAUGGGAACCAGGCCACUGAGAGACAGCAUCUCCUGGAAACAUGGGCACUGCCCUAUGGCCCUGUGUUGGCAGGAUGGCUUGAGGUGAAGCUGAGAAGAAGGAGAUGGGGCCCACAGAGGGCCUCUGCCCAGAGCUUCUGGCCACAUGGAUUUGGAGCCCGAUCCCACUUUUGUCCAAGGAUUGUACGUCCAAAUCCAGGCUGAGAUCCUCAGUUGAGCUACUGGGACUCAUCCACGGUAUUCAUUAAAUGCCCACGGGGAGCUCUGCCUGGCACUCUCCUGUUCCUGCAGCUUGCCAAGUCUGUCAAGCGAUUAACCACGUUCAUACUGAGUAAAUACAAGAAACUUGACUGAUUGCCACCUGGCCUGCCCACUUCCUCGGGGCCGUGAUGGUUGUAUCAAGUGUGUCCCCAGAGAAGAGGACACUGGGACAGAAUUAAGAAGCAGGUCACUGAAAUUGGACUCGCUGCCCUAGACUUGGCAUCUUCUCUAACUAAGCCUCUGAGGUCCCAGCAUGUCUAGAGGAUGAGCACACUCAAGACCCUGGGUGAAGAUAAGAGGAAAAGGGAUCUCAAACUCCUGAGUUUGUAUUGCUGUGUGCUGGGUUCCCAGAGCUGACUCGAGGGAACCCCAUCUUGAAACAGUAUGCUUGCUAACAGUCCAAGAAAUAACUUCCAGAGACAUGAGAAGAGGGGAAAGAGGGAAGAAAAAUUGGAUUGAAAUAACCUAUGAAAUGGAUCAUUAGACUUUGUUCAAUUAAGAACAGCUUUUUACCAGAGCGAGCAGGGGACAGUGCAGAGACCUCCCACCUGACAGGUGGCUAGGCUGGACUCUCCUUUGACAGAUGGUGCUCUGGUUUAUGCACAAAGAUGUCCGUCACAGCAUUCCUUGUCAUACUUCAUGUCUAAUGUUGGGGCCUGCUUCCAAGGUUAUGGAUCAGCCAUUUGAUGAAAUGUUAUAAAGCCAUUACAAUGACAUUGGCAAAGAAAUUCCAAAACAUGGGGAACGCCUCACGUUACAAUUAAGUGCAUAAAGGAGGCCUGUGAAUGGCGUGCGUGAAGACCUGUCGCUUUGUCAGCUGUGUCUGUGACACUUUUACUUCAUUUGGGGCAUCGUCCCCACAUGCAAGCAGACGGGACAGGAAAGGAGUUAAGGUCAAUACCAUGCCAUCCACCCCUAAGCUCUUCCUCCUGAUCUAAAAGCCAGGAUUGGAGACCCACCGAAAUAUUAAUAUAACACAUCAUUGCAGACAUUUUCUUCUUUGUUCCUCUGCAAAUGUUCUAAGACUUAAAAAAAAAAAAUUUUUUUUGUUCUCUUUAAAGUUUCCCUGGAAACUUCCAAAAGGCAGCUGCUGUGGUCGCACAUCAUCCCCUCUCUCCCUGCCCACCCCCCGCCAAUGUGUA